GGCGCCCGCAGCCGGCGCCUGGUUUAGGGAACGCGCAGCUGCAGCCCCGCGAGCUCCAACGUGGGCAGGGCAGCCGACCCAAAAUACGCGCUCUGCAGCCGGCCCCGCCGCUGCCUUUUUUAGCUUGUUUGCGGCCAGGCUGACUCACACAGCUAAGACAGCAAAAUGUACCUGAGGUGACGCCUGGCGGUAUUCAAAUAUCCCUAGUUUCUUUUCUAUUUUUUCUCUCCUCUCCAUCACCUCUGCCAACUUAACGCCUCCUGCCCCGGGGCCGCCUUGGCCAUGGCCUGUCCUGCCAUUGGUUCUCGGCGGUGAGGGAGUUGCGGGCUCCGACCUUGUCAAGGUGACUUCCCAAGUUCCUGCAUUUUCUGAGUGACGUGCAUUCACAUGAGGUCUGCAAUGUUGUCUCUCCUAUCAAGAUGUGCAACAGUCACACAUACACACACCCUUCGCUCAGUUUCAUUUUGCUGGCUUCGGAAGUCAUUUGAAUUGGAAGAGUUUUCUUUGUGAAACCGGAAGGCUUCACUGGGGGCUUAAGAAGAGAGGAGGAGAAGAGGACGAGCUCACCCUGGCACAAUCCAUCUGUACUAAUCUGCAUGGAAAGUAACAGUGGAAUACCACUUUUAGAAAACUGCAUGAAAGGAAAGGUUUUAUGUCCAGCCAAGCAGUCCUUCAAGCAUCAACGGAUGUCAAAGCCGUUUUCAACAUGCAAGAACUUGGGGAAUCCUGAGCCCAUCAUGUCUUCCUGAAAAAUCUACUAGGGGAUGAACAUGAUGCAACACAGCGGUCACUGGGGAAUACUCAGCAGGAGGACUGGA
Molecule: long non-coding RNA, 818 nt
Organism: Mustela erminea (ermine)
Lineage: Eukaryota; Metazoa; Chordata; Mammalia; Carnivora; Mustelidae
Exons: 3
Source: RefSeq, a predicted model, not a curated record